AUUGAACGCUGGCGGAAUGCUUUACACAUGCAAGUCGAACGGCAGCACGGGAGCUUGCUCCUGGUGGCGAGUGGCGAACGGGUGAGUAAUGCAUCGGAACGUACCUAUUAGUGGGGGAUAACUAUCCGAAAGGAUAGCUAAUACCGCAUACGUCCUGAGGGAGAAAGCGGGGGAUCGCAAGACCUCGCGCUAAUAGAGCGGCCGAUGUUGGAUUAGCUAGUUGGUGGGGUAAAGGCCUACCAAGGCGACGAUCCAUAGCUGGUCUGAGAGGAUGAGCAGCCACACUGGGACUGAGACACGGCCCAGACUCCUACGGGGGGCAGCAGUGGGGAAUUUUGGACAAUGGGGGCAACCCUGAUCCAGCCAUUCCGCGUGAGUGAAGAAGGCCUUCGGGUUGUAAAGCUCUUUCGGCAGGAACGAAACGGUGGUUACUAAUACUAGCUACUAAUGACGGUACCUGAAGAAGAAGCACCGGCUAACUACGUGCCAGCCGCCGCAGUAA
RNAcentral lists this ribosomal RNA (502 nucleotides) under uncultured bacterium. Its description in RNAcentral is "partial 16S ribosomal RNA". It matches the Rfam family "Bacterial small subunit ribosomal RNA", at positions 30 to 523 of the family's 1533-position model. The record is from RNAcentral.